GACCGGCCCGAGGACGCGCAGGGCGGGCCCGGCAGCGCGGCAGCCCUGCGGUCCCGGUGGGAGAGGCCGGGGUGCCCGAGGACUCCGCUCCCCGGGCCUGAGAGACCGGUGUGCGGGUGCGAGCCCGGUGGCAGCUGUUUUGUCACACGGCUGGGGUUCUUCAGGAAGCGGAUACCUCCUCUCCCGAAGUGGAUAUUGCCACCCCCUUAUUUCUGAGUAUUUCUGUUAAUAUGCUGUUCCUGCACGUCACCAGUGGCUUCAUCAGAACAUCUCCAGCAUGAUUUUGGAACAUCCCUGUCGUCUGGUCCGUAAGCCCUGAAAUGUUUUUACAUCCUUGAACUGUAUCCCCAUUGAAGGUUUUGAUACUUUUUCAAAACCUUUCGUCUUGGAAAUACUUUUGUUAAAUCAAUGAGAAUGCUGCUGUGUUUAAAUACCUUUUGAAAUCGCAGCCAGGGUACCCAUCCUGCUUUAUUUUUAAUACUUCUGAUCUGCAUGUUUACAUGUGACUUUCCAGGACUCUUCGCUGGCCGUGUGCAGCACAGUGAUGCUGCAGCUGGUGGCGUGUAAGUCAUUUUCUUAGUCACGUUGCAGUUCCGGAAAAAAGUAUUCCACAAAUGUUGUGGUAUAAUACAAGUAAUUUGCCUACUUAAACGUGUAAGCAUGUGCUAGUGCCAAGUAUUGGCUUGGUUUCUCUGAAAAGUAACUUUCAAAUGGUCCAUAUUUCAGCCGGACCACCUACUGUAUUUGUGGAGACGCUGUGGUUUACUUAACAUGCCCCAGAAUUCGUCAGUUUUUCAACAGAGGGUGGAACUAAACACGGCAGAAUCCCUGGAUCACCCUAUAAAAUAGUGACAUGAAGCAGAAAGUGCUUAGUCCUGAAUUGCAAGAAAUGGCAAAACGAGACAAAAAUUCCAGCUCUAACCUAUGUGAAAGUUUCCAAUUUAUAGUAUUUGUAUCUAACAAGAAGAGUUUUAAUGUGGUUUAAAUUACAUGUGUUCCUUUCAAUAUUCAAAAAUUAUUCUAAGAACAAACUGGAGCAUGUUUUAGAAAAAAAAAAAGAAGAGUUCAUUUUCUUUUUGAAGUACACAUAUAUAGAAAGUGCAUAUAUUUAGCUCCCCAAACUAAAUACAGCUUUAAGUGAUAUGAAAAGGUAAACGUUUUAUCAUCAUGUGUUAAUAAUUACAGUUUUCCUCUUAAUGAUAUUUUUCUUGUUGCCACAUCCCAUACAUUUAAUUAGAACACUUGUUUUAACAUAAUAACAUCUAACAUGUUGAGAAACAUGAAUAGUUUUGAUAUAUUUAUGAUUUAUUACUAUAGAUAUUAAUAUCAGCUGUAGAGCUUUCAAAAAUAGCCAGUAUUUAGUUAAUUGGAACUACUUAUUUUAAAAAAUAUUUGUAGUAGCUUUUCUUUAAAGCAACUUUAUGUGUCGGAGAGACCUCAGCCAUGCAGACAUGCCAUUCUCACGUGCCACUUGGUGCUACCUCUCUCUGUUAAAAAUGUCAAAUACCUGCUAGUAAAUGCAGACUCCGAUUCCUCACUGAACGCAUGUGCUACAUUUUGUUGCAGCUGAGAAAUCUGCUGAGAUCUGUGCGGCAGUUCAUUCUAUACCAGAAAAAGGAUAUUCCUAACAAGGCAGUAGCAGCUAAUGUGCAACUUGUGUUUCAGCUGGCAUUUGCUCUCUGUGCAGUUUUAAACACUUUGUCCUCUUGUCUUCAGUGCAUGUGAGAAAUCUUCAUGCAAAGCUGGGAUGUUUGUAACAGGGACUGAAGACUUCUUGCUGCAGUUCAAAAUGUGAGACUGUACUGAUGACACAUGCAUUUUGGAAAACCAUGGUUUAAUAAAAGGAGAAAGAAGGACAGGGGUGAAGUUACGUGUUAACUUCUCCAGUGUGGUGCAGUGUAGUCGUAAUACCAGAUGAAGGCUGAAAUUUACCUUAUUUUCUCAUUCUAGGUUGACCUUUCUGUUGAAGGUGCAUGUUCCACUUCCAGUGCAUAGAAUCUUUGAGUAAAUAAUUUUUGCCAAUUCCCUCUGUUUAAUUCUACUAUGAUUUUCCUCCAUUGAAUUGCUUAUAAAAAGCUGUGACAGUUCUGUUGCAGUAUUCAUCUUUUACCACAAUCAUGUGUAAUCUGUUUGCUUUUCUGGUUCUACUUUUUGCUUCGUUUUUAAUAUGAGAGCUCAUUGAAAAUAUUCGGUAUUUGAACUCUCAGUGGCCAGGAGUUAAAAGAGUCCUUUCUUACUCCCACUUAAAACCUGUGCUGGCUGUUCCUGUGGGAGUUUGAAACUGUAGCUGCCCAGAGAGGAGCCAGCUUUCCAGCUUCAUGCUUGUGGACUUUCUAUACUGUAUGUAUUUUGUAGGAGUAUUACUCUAUAUAAAGCUCUAUGUAUGUCCAGGAUAAAUCUGAACACAGCAAGCAGAAAAGCCUGUUUGUAGUGAAUUGUUAAUGACAUAGAUACCUCAAGAAAUGUUGAGCUGGAAGCUCAAAAGAAGCUUCAUUAGAUGCAGUUUCUGAAGUUUAGUCUGAGCCACUGUUUUGGCACAUUUCAGACAGUGGGGGGACAGUUUAUAUUCAGAAUCAGAAAAAAGAUCUGAGAAGUUGUAUUCUUGCAGACAAACUAAAUACCUUUUGAAAUUUAAUACCAUGCUAAUUUCAAUUUAGCAGCUAAAUAGUAAGGAAAACCUGUAUCAAUAUGAAAUUUUGCACUUGAGUGAGCUCAUUGUACAUCAACAGCUAGUGAAUUCUGAUUACUCCCACCGACGUAUAAGUUAGGUCAAGCCAUACAUGGAUUUAAACCAUUUAAACCAUUUAAACUAUUCAGUAACAAGUAAGAAAUAAUGCUUAGUUAGAUACACAUUUUAAAAUUAUUUCAUUUAUGUAGACAAUAUGCUUUUGGUAACUCAAUUUUGAGUAGCUCAAAAUUAAAAUCCUGUUAUAGGUCUGAGAGAUGGAAUCUGGUUUAGUGACUGUUCAACAGGAAACUGUAAUCUAGAAAUUCUUAACAAGGCAUCUAUCAUUGUGAGCAGUCAGCUUUCUAUAGCAGCCAUUUGUAAUUGGAAGCAGGCAAUCAACCACCACCCCACCAAAACCACCACCAUAAUAUUCAGGAAAACUUCCUGAACAUGGAUUUUCACAUUUUCACUUUGUACACUAUUAAAAAGACACAAGUUACACAAUUACUAGAGAGGCUGCAAUUUCAAUUCACAAUCCCAUUUAUGACAUUAUAGAAAACCUUGAAAUAAAAUGGUACCUUUGUGUUUUCCCAGAUGGUCACUUUGUACUUCGUAUUCUAAAGAGUGGAAUGUAGAUCCAUUUACCUGAAUAAAAAGGAGUCAUUUAGUGGAGUUUCAUUUCAUUAUUUUGAAAAUAAAAUAAAUGCACAGUGACUUGGAGUUCUCCUGCUUUGAUUUCUUAGUAUUUCAGGUGUCUUAUGGGCAGUGUGUCCUUGGUGUAAGUUAAAUAAUGCACAAGAACUAAGUUUCAUUUACACCUUGCACUACUCAAAAAUACAAAAGAACCUUAAAAUGGAAAUAAAUAAUUUAUGCACCAGAUUAAAGCUCUUCAAACUUGAGUGUAAAGUGUAAUUUUUUUAUGUGUCAAGACACUCUUUGUGAAGAGUCCUUAUGUAGUCAGUAGGUGAAGACCCUGUCCUUAGAAGUACUGAUGGGAAGGUCAGAAAAUUCAGGGUCCCCACAGCUAUCUAACAGUUUUGAUUAUGUGCCUGGCAGAGUUCUGAAAUUUUGGCCAAAUGAACUGAAAUGUUCUGGCUUGUAUAAGAAGCACCUUAAUUACACAAAGAGUAUAUUAUUUAGUUAAAUAUAGAAAACAGUCUAUGUGUAAGAUGUUAAUUCUUCACGGUGUAAAUCAGGGUUGGGAUAAGAGAGUUUAAUGUGGUCAGAUAAUUAGGACAUAGUGACCCUUGAGUUUUAAUCCCUUUUCUGACAUCAGAUACUUUUGUGUAUUGAAGUAAUUUAAAUUCUGUCCCUCCUGUAAUGUCAUGAUCCUAAUGAUAAUCAACCUUAACUAUGUUUAAAGGGGUGCUCAGAUUAGCUAGGUUGUUUUUGUGAAAGUGCUUUGAAGAUGAAAAGCACUGUGUCAAGGUAAAAGGUCUUAUUAUUUUUUUGUUACAACAAAAGUUACUGUAAAGAAAUAAAAGUGCUGUGUACACGUAGCUGAGCUUUGAGUUGCUUUAGCUAAUGUUACUUCAAAGAAACAACAGUGGGAUUGAAAAGAGGGGAAAAUAAAGGCUCAGUCAUGUCAAAUUUACCUUCUGCAUUUGUUCGUGCAGGACUUGGUGUCCAGAGCUCCCAUUGCACUGUACUGCUUGUAGACUUUGUUAUUUCUGUCCUACAGAUUCACAAAAUAAAUUUCAAUAAUGCUGGAGUUCAAGGAAGAGUGUCCUCUGUGUCCUUCUGUAUCAGCCAAGAGCUGACCCAAAGAGGAAGCCUAUAUUUACCAUAUGAUCAUACCAUGAAAAUAUCUUUCUCUUGCAAAUUCCAUGUAAAUUUUAUGUUUUCUCCUGUAAACUGGAAACAAUUUGUUGGAUCCUGUCCCCAAAGUAGUAAUUUAAGAUUUCAGCUGACUUCAGAGAAAAAUGAAUGUCUGUGUUUGGUGUGCAGACUAAUAUAUUUUAAGUAUAAACUGCAAGACUACUGCAUGGAAGCAUCCAAACGUCAUGUUCGGGAAUAUUUGGAAGCCUAAGUUUCCAACUGUUUAUUACAAUCCACCACCUAGAGUUUAGUGCUUCUACAGCUCUCUUGUGGAGCAGAAAGGUCUGUGAACUCUCAAAAGCAUGCCAGCAAAAAGGCUAACUGAUAAAGUUCAAGCAACCCUUAUCAACAGCUAAAGUGAAGAUGUCUCUCUUUACAUUGACGCUGCUAUGGAACUGUAACACUUUACCUUGGUCCAUUCAUUUGCUAAAUGAACAGUUGGCUUUUCCAACAUUUGCAAUAAGUGGAAGUAUCUUCAAGGGACCAUUUUAGUAACGCAAAAGCACCAGAAAAUCCCUUCCCUUUUUCUCGAGGAGGAACCAUCAAGAAGCCAACCACAUCAGUUUCAAAGCUGUGAUGUGUUCCUUGAGCACUAAAUAGCCUUAAUGAGGUAAAGAUUGCACAGUACACAGAAAGAGGAACUCUGCCAAAUGCAGGUGAGGGGAGGAGAAUUUUUCAGCUUACAGAUAAUUUACUGAUGCAGUAUUUUAGAAAGCUUUCAUGCAAAGAAACGCACAUUGUAUGAGAUCAGGUAUAUAAACUACUACAAGAUAAGAUAGUCAGGUCCAGGACCUUGACAUUUGACAUUACUGGCACAAGUUACUUCAGAAAAUAAAAUCCAUACUGCAAUUAAGCAUUAUAUGUCCUCAAAAGUCCCCAUUAUCUUCAAUGAGGCCACAGAAGAAAGACAACCUCAGAUCAUGUAGGAAAUGAUUACAAAAGAUGAACAUUGUAUGAAUUAACAUCUGCACUGGUCUGCUAGAAUUAGAAGUGUGUGCGUCUCCCUAAUACUGCCCCCAUACCAGUUAGUUUUUGUGUAUGAAGUACAUGAGUGCAUCUGUAUCACCUGUGCAUAGAAGUGCUUAUACAAUUGAUCUAGGUAGCUAUAGUACAAGGUACCUCUUCUUGCGGCUCUGCUGGAACUUGCUUACCUACCACAUGCUUCUACUUCCAGCAUUUUUUUUAACAAAGCACAUUAACUUACCUCUACAUCCAUCACACAAAUAUAAAAAAAGGAAGAAUGAAAAAGACUGGCAUAAAUUUUCCUCUGGUUUAUGUUGAAGUGUAGUUUUUCGAACCCCAGCCACAUUUUGUUUAGCCAAGAAUCCACUCUGACUGCUUCUUCACUUCAGGUGCCUUCCUUGGCUCUGCUCAGGCAUCACUCCUGUAUGACUUUGAUGACUAAGAGUUAUGUCCGGGUGAAUGUGAGCUGUGCCGCAGGGGCCUGUCCCGGCAGCAGUGUGACUCAGAGGCUCUGACGCAGAUUGCCUCCCCGCUUCCUCCUGGCCGCGGGCGGGCAGGUUCUCACUGCUGGCCCGGCGCAUCCUGAAGCUGGUACAUGCCCAUCCCGCGCAGUCCUGCUGUGGACGGCUGAGUCAUUUGGGAAACCUGAGCAGGAGGGCAGUGCAAUCGUCGCGAGUUCUGCGUUGUUCAUGUCUGCAAAGAGAAGAGAAAGAAUUUCCCCAAAAAAGCCUUUUCCAGGAGAAUUCUCUGGGUCUCAAGUGAACACAGAGGUGCAUCCUGAGACAUCACUGCCCAGGCAUCUGAUUCUUGUCCAGACUCAGACACAAGGAAAAUAAAUAAUUGAUUGUGACAGGGAAUCUCCAUCACAUGCUCAGGUGACAGAAGGAGUUUUCAGAAGCUGAAAUUUUGUCUGUGAAUAAAAGGAUAUCUUCUGAAAAUGUA
Long non-coding RNA from Columba livia (rock pigeon), 6391 nucleotides. RefSeq lists it as uncharacterized. The record is from RefSeq and is a predicted model, not a curated record. Lineage: Eukaryota; Metazoa; Chordata; Aves; Columbiformes; Columbidae. The transcript has 3 exons.